This 463-nucleotide ribosomal RNA is filed under the name uncultured bacterium. RNAcentral's name for it is "bacterial SSU rRNA". It matches the Rfam family "Bacterial small subunit ribosomal RNA", at positions 28 to 507 of the family's 1533-position model. The record is from RNAcentral.
GACGAACGCUGGCGGCGUGCCUAACACAUGCAAGUCGAGCGAUGAAGUUCCUUCGGGAACGGAUUAGCGGCGGACGGGUGAGUAACACGUGGGCAACCUGCCUUAUAGAGGGGAAUAGCCUUCCGAAAGGAAGAUUAAUACCGCAUAAGAUUGUAGCUUCGCAUGAAGCAGCAAUUAAAGGAGCAAUCCGCUAUAAGAUGGGCCCGCGGCGCAUUAGCUAGUUGGUGAGGUAACGGCUCACCAAGGCGACGAUGCGUAGCCGACCUGAGAGGGUGAUCGGCCACAUUGGGACUGAGACACGGCCCAGACUCCUACGGGAGGCAGCAGUGGGGAAUAUUGCACAAUGGGGGAAACCCUGAUGCAGCAACGCCGCGUGAGUGAUGACGGCCUUCGGGUUGUAAAGCUCUGUCUUUUGGGGACGAUAAUGACGGUACCCAAGGAGGAAGCCACGGCUAACUACGUG